This is a non-coding RNA of Phrynosoma platyrhinos (Desert horned lizard), 72 nucleotides long. NCBI's taxonomy places the organism in Eukaryota, Metazoa, Chordata, Lepidosauria, Squamata, Phrynosomatidae. The record is from the annotation of a GenBank genome assembly.
GCCAGAGUGGUGCAGUGGUUUGAGCGUUGGACUUCAAUUCUGAUGAUCAGGGUUCAAAUUUCUGCUUGGCCA